AAAGUCGUAACAAGGUUUCCGUAGGUGAACCUGCGGAAGGAUCAUUAUUGAAUAAACUUAGUUAGGUUGUUGCUGGUUCUUCGGAACAUGUGCACACCUGACAAUGUUUUUAACCACCUGUGCACUUUUUGUAGAUCUGGAAUAUCUUUUGAGGAAACUCAGUUUGAGGAUUGCUGUGUGAAAGCCAGCUUUCCUUGCAUUUCAGGUCUAUGUUUUAUAUAUACCCCAAUAGAAUGUAAUUGAAUGUCAUUUAAUGGGCCUUUGAGCCUUUAAAACAAAUACAACUUUCAACAACGGAUCUCUUGGCUCUC
RNAcentral lists this unclassified non-coding RNA (311 nucleotides) under Basidiomycota sp. Its description in RNAcentral is "partial contains small subunit ribosomal RNA, internal transcribed spacer 1, and 5.8S ribosomal RNA". The stretch from base 1 to 47 matches the Rfam family "Eukaryotic small subunit ribosomal RNA", at positions 1785 to 1831 of the family's 1831-position model. Lineage: Eukaryota; Fungi; Basidiomycota. The record is from RNAcentral.